UACAGAGGGUGCGAGCGUUGUCCGGAAUCACUGGGCGUAAAGGGCGCGUAGGCGGCUUGAUAAGUAGGGGGUGAAAUCUCAUGGCUCAACUGUGAGGCUGCCUUCUAGACUGUCUGGCUUGAGCACAGUAGAGGCGAGUGGAAUUCCCGGUGUAGCGGUGGAAUGCGUAGAGAUCGGGAAGAACAUCGGUGGCGAAGGCGGCUCGCUGGGCUGUUGCUGACGCUGAGGCGCGAAAGCGUGGGGAGCAAAC
RNAcentral lists this ribosomal RNA (250 nucleotides) under uncultured bacterium. Its description in RNAcentral is "partial 16S ribosomal RNA". It matches the Rfam family "Bacterial small subunit ribosomal RNA", at positions 524 to 773 of the family's 1533-position model. The record is from RNAcentral.